UUGGCUUAAGUUUAGAUCUAGGCCAGAGUCAUGGAAGGGCUACAUCCAUGAGGGAAAGUUUUAGGAGGAGGAAUGAGGCGAAGGAGAAUUUUGAAAAAAUUUAUGGAAGAGCUUGCCAUGAAAAUGAGUGAGAUGGUUUGAACUAAAGAGAUUAGCUGAAUGGAUUGAGGUCUUAUGAGGAGAUCAGGGAUCAAGUUGAGAUGUCUCUUGAUAUGCCGGACUGUGUAUUUAUACUUGAAAAAUCAAUCCUUUAGUCUCAGCAAUUAUGGUUUAAGAAGGCUCUUGUUUUUGAAAUCAAGAAUUUUUGGA
RNAcentral lists this unclassified non-coding RNA (309 nucleotides) under Hevea brasiliensis (rubber tree). Lineage: Eukaryota; Viridiplantae; Streptophyta; Magnoliopsida; Malpighiales; Euphorbiaceae. The record is from RNAcentral.